Molecule: long non-coding RNA, 662 nt
Filed under: Oryza sativa Indica Group (long-grained rice)
Lineage: Eukaryota; Viridiplantae; Streptophyta; Magnoliopsida; Poales; Poaceae
Also listed under: 1 other name
Description: lncRNA OsLiXu_12g0014500
Source: RNAcentral
AUGGCUUCAGCUGAUCAGCUCCUUGUCAAACAUCAUUCAUUAUUUCAUCAUCAAUUGACAUAGCUAUAUCGUCGUCCUACAGUGGCACAUUGCAUAAGAACUUUUAUGUUGACACUGUAUAACUACUGUUGUAAUUAAGUUUCAUGCUAAACUAGACUUUUUGGUAUUUCCAGGUCGAUCACAGAGAGGAGUCAAGAUGGUGGGGCCCGCCAGUGGAUCCCACAGUCUUUCUUUUCCUCUCUUUCUUUUAUUUUUUCUCUCUCUCUUAUCCUUCCCUUCUCUCGGUUCCUUUUCCUGCUCUCUCGAUUUCUUCUCUGUUUUCUCUCUCGUUCUCUUCUCUGCCUUUGGCUCCUUCACGCGCGCCCGAGAGGAGAGAGGCGCCGGAGAUGGCGGCCUGGCGCAGGGCGGCGGUGGGGGAAGGAGAGAGGAGAAAGGGGCGGCAUCGGUGGGGAGGAGGAGGCUGGGGCGGUGCGGCGGCGCUCGGCGCUUGGCUCGGUGGCACGGAAGCCGGCGGUGGAGCGUGGGGGAGGGAAGGUGGCCGGCUGCGAUGGAGGCCGUCGGGGCGAAGGAGGUUGCGGCCGGCGUCGGCGACCUGGUGGCGGCGCCCAACAUGGCGCGGCGGUGCCCCAGCGCCGAUGAAGACGACGAUGCGUUUGGUCUAG